GCGGGCGUAGUUUAGUGGCAAAACGAGAGUUUUCCAAACUCUGGUCGGGAGUUCGAUUCUCCUCGCCCGCU
RNAcentral lists this transfer RNA (71 nucleotides) under Candidatus Microgenomates bacterium. RNAcentral describes it as "tRNA-Gly". It matches the Rfam family "tRNA". From Rfam's summary of the family: Transfer RNA (tRNA) molecules are approximately 80 nucleotides in length. Their secondary structure includes four short double-helical elements and three loops (D, anti-codon, and T loops). The record is from RNAcentral. Lineage: Bacteria; Candidatus Microgenomatota. RNAcentral also lists the same sequence under 1 other name.